This 253-nucleotide ribosomal RNA is filed under the name uncultured bacterium. Its description in RNAcentral is "partial 16S ribosomal RNA". It matches the Rfam family "Bacterial small subunit ribosomal RNA", at positions 524 to 776 of the family's 1533-position model. The record is from RNAcentral.
UACGUGGGGGGCAAGCGUUGUUCGGAAUUAUUGGGCGUAAAGGGUGCGUAGGCGGUUUGGUAAGUCUUAUGUGAAAUCUACAGGCUCAACUUGUAGUCUGCAUGAGAAACUGCCGGGCUUGAGUAUGGGAGAGGUGAGUGGAAUUCCUGGUGUAGCGGUGAAAUGCGUAGAUAUCAGGAGGAACACCUGUGGCGAAAGCGGCUCACUGGACCAUAACUGACGCUGAUGCACGAAAGCUAGGGGAGCAAACAGG